RNAcentral lists this small nucleolar RNA (121 nucleotides) under Castor canadensis (American beaver). RNAcentral's name for it is "Small nucleolar RNA SNORA32 (ENSCCNG00000009669.1)". It matches the Rfam family "Small nucleolar RNA SNORA32". Rfam says of the family: ACA32 is a member of the H/ACA class of snoRNA that guide the sites of modification of uridines to pseudouridines. Lineage: Eukaryota; Metazoa; Chordata; Mammalia; Rodentia; Castoridae. The record is from Rfam by way of RNAcentral.
UGGUCAUUACCAAAGCUUUUAGAAUUCAGUUUCUCAUUUGCUGUGGACAUGACCAUAAAAAAUUCUCCCAGUAGGUUUUCUAUAUGCUACUUUGUUAGCAAUCAAUCAACUGGGGACACUA